CAUGCAAGUCGAACGGAGUUACUUUGGUGAAGUUUUCGGAUGGAUCUGAUUUAACUUAGUGGCGGACGGGUGAGUAAUGCGUGAGCAACCUGCCCUUCAGAGGGGGACAACAGUUGGAAACGACUGCUAAUACCGCAUAAUGUAUUCGGAAGGCAUCUUCUGGAUACCAAAGGAGAAAUCCGCUGAUGGAUGGGCUCACGUCUGAUUAGCUAGUUGGUGAGGUAACGGCUCACCAAGGCUGCGAUCAGUAGCCGGACUGAGAGGUUGAACGGCCACAUUGGGACUGAGAUACGGCCCAGACUCCUACGGGAGGCAGCAGUGGGGAAUAUUGGGCAAUGGGCGAAAGCCUGACCCAGCAACGCCGCGUGAAGGAAGAAGGCCUUCGGGUUGUAAACUUCUUUUAAGAGGGACGAAGAAGUGACGGUACCUCUUGAAUAAGCCACGGCUAACUACGUGCCAGCAGCCGCGGUAAUACGUAGGUGGCGAGCGUUAUCCGGAUUUACUGGGUGUAAAGGGCGCGUAGGCGGGAAUGCAAGUCAGAUGUGAAAUCCAAGGGCUCAACCCUUGAACUGCAUUUGAAACUGUAUUUCUUGAGUGUCGGAGAGGUUGACGGAAUUCCUAGUGUAGCGGUGAAAUGCGUAGAUAUUAGGAGGAACACCAGUGGCGAAGGCGGUCAACUGGACGAUAACUGACGCUGAGGCGCGAAAGCGUGGGGAGCAAACAGGAUUAGAUACCCUGGUAGUCCACACCGUAAACGAUGAUUACUAGGUGUUGGAGGAUUGACCCCUUCAGUGCCGCAGUUAACACAAUAAGUAAUCCACCUGGGGAGUACGACCG
This 837-nucleotide ribosomal RNA is filed under the name uncultured bacterium. RNAcentral describes it as "bacterial SSU rRNA". It matches the Rfam family "Bacterial small subunit ribosomal RNA", at positions 54 to 888 of the family's 1533-position model. The record is from RNAcentral.